RNAcentral lists this long non-coding RNA (7082 nucleotides) under Ananas comosus (pineapple). RNAcentral's name for it is "long non-coding RNA (ACOM_LNC030849)". Lineage: Eukaryota; Viridiplantae; Streptophyta; Magnoliopsida; Poales; Bromeliaceae. The record is from RNAcentral.
CGCGCGGCGCGGCGACGGGAACAUCGGCGGCGGCGGCGCGGCGGCGGGAUCGGCUGCGGAGCGGUGGCUCGAGGAGGUUCGGUUCAUAUAUAACCCUAUCUUCGUUUUCUCUGUAUAAUUAAUAAUAAUAAUAAUAAUAAUAAUAAUAAUAGUAAUAACUACUACUACUGCUUUGUUUGUGUUAGAGAGAGAGAGAGAGAGAGAGAGUAGAGAGAGAAAGGGGGGAUGAGGAUGAUAAAAGGGAGAGGGGCGGCUAAGGAUGGCGAUGUGUACGGAUACCAGAAAUUUUAUUCGAACCUGUAUUCCAACGGAGCAGAUUUAUUCUAUGCUAAAAGAACAUGAUUUCGAACAUGGAUAUCAAAAAUAAAAAUGCAACGGAUAUAAAUUUGGAUAUAAAUUUUGACUGUAUCCGAACCGAAUAUGCAUCCGACCUAAACCCGAAUUAUAUUUAAUUUUGUAUUUUAAAAUUUUAGAUUGAGUGUAAUAUAUUUUGAAAUAUUGAGAAGAGAAAUAAUUAUUUUUGGUUUAGAUUUUUGGGUUCGAAUUCGAAUUUUGAAUUGUUAAUCAGAUUCGGAUUUAAAUAUGAAUUUUUACAAUAUAUCGAGUUCGGAUUUAGAGUCGAAUUCAGUUCAAAUUUUUAAAAAUUCAUCCCGAAUCUGACCAGGUCUUUGGGGCGGCUCGUGAUUUGCCCUAGGGAGUAGCGUGGCGGUGGUGGUGGGGACCUCUGGAAUAGUAAAAUAUGGAAGAUUCGCUUCGGAGGAGUUGCUAUUUAUUUAUUUAUUUAUUUAUGAGUUUAGAAAAUUGAGGGGAUUGAUGGUGAUUAGCAUUGCUAAGAAGUGUGACAUUUUUGUCCGUUUCACCCAAGUUGGAGUUUGGAUUAAACUAGGUUUUAAUGAAUUAGAAUUUAGAUUAAAAAAAAAAUUCUUUCACUAUUUAUUUUUCUAUCUCUCAGUUAUAGUUUUUCGAGUUUUAUUAUUUAUUUAGUAAAAAAUAAAUAAUAUAAAAAUUAAAAAAAAUAAUAUUUUAUUAUUAUUAUUAUUAUUAUUGACAUUGACUUCGGCCUCAGGUGGCCGCCGAAGUCUGUUUGGAUGCUUGAAUAUUUUGUUGGGUAUAUAUAAAAAGAGUAAUGCUACAUAUACAUUCUACUUUGGAGGUAUAUUUUACACCUUAUUCAUCUAAUAGGUGAGAUGUUUUUACUAAUUAUUUGAUGUGACUGGUAGUUAACACCCUACCUUUUGAAUAGGUGGGAUGUAUAAGUAGCAUUUUCCAUAUAAGAAUGACUACGGGAUAGAGUGGGGACGGGACCUUCCCCAUUUCCAUCCCCGUGGGCUUUUAGAAUCCCCGUUCUAGCCAAAUCUCCUUUAAUGGAAAAUACCCGUCCCUCCGGAAUUUCGUAGAUCUUUUGAAAAUAUACUAAAUUAAUUGUAACACACUUAAGAUUUGAAAUAUUUCUGUAUAUAAGAUGUAAUACGGCUAAACCUCUUAAUUCGGCUAUAAUAUUUUGGGCGGUGAUUAAACGUAAGAGAUUAAGAGGGUUAAACAUAUUAGGAUUAAAGUAAUUCUAGAAUGGACAACCCCCUUGGGAAUAGGGACGUCACAGUUGGUAUCAGAGUAAAUUACCGGCCAGAAUUGUGUAGGAUGAAUCUCCGCUGAGCUAGGGUCAUGCGGUGUGUAGAGCGCGGCUCCCCGAUUAACGGUCGUUAUGGAUGGAGCGCAAUUUUUCAUAAGGUCAGCUAAAAUUAGUAAGACGAGUCUCAUAUUACUUGACCCUUGUGGAUAUUUUUGAGCUUCACGAAGACAUCAAGAUUUAAAAGGAAGAUGAAUAUAACACCUCUAGAAUUUCGAAUAAUCGGCUAAACUUUUUAACCCAUUUAUAACAUUUUAGAUGGUGGCUAAAUUUAAGAAGUUAAGAGAGUUGAGCGUAUUAGGCUAUAAUAAUUCUAAAAUAUAUGACCUACCUAGAAAAACGGGCGUACGUCACAUUACCUUUUUCAUUUAAAAUUUAAUUCAAUUUUAAUUCAAAUUAUCUUAAAUUUUAUCCACUUUUACGUUUAUUUUUUUCAAUAUCAAAUUAUUAAUUUUGACUUAUUAAAUUACUAUAAUAGCAAUCAAAUAUUAUUUAAUUGAUAUAUUAUAUAAAAAAGUAUACAUAUUAAAAAUACUUAAUUAAACUUAAAAUAUAUUAAAAAUAUUAGAAUUAAUUUUUUACAUUUACUAGUUAUAGUGUACGUACAAUACACGUCACAUUUACUAAUUAAUUUAAAUUUAAAUAUAAUUUUCCUAUAAAAUGAAAUCUAAAUUUGUAUUUUAAAUUUAAAUAUUUAUCGGUAGCAUGAGUCCAUUUUUCAAUUAAUCUAGUUUCUAAAUUUGAUUUGUUUCAGUUUAUUUUUAGUUUGUUAAUUAUAAUUAUUUUUUUUAAUAAUAUGUAUGGAAUAUUUUUUAUUCCAUAUAGAAUUCCAUCUGACAAUUCCUAUCCACUUUUACUUGAAAAGUUUAUGUAUUUACUUGAUAGAGAGAGUGAUCAAAUGUCUAAAAUUGAAUGCUAUAUUUAGUCUUUAAAUUAUUUUUUCAAAUAAAAUAAAUUACCUAUUAGGUGAAAUAUGCUAUGUUAUCAACUAUGGAUAGCAAAACCAUUCAAAAAAGCAAAAAGUCUACUAUCAUAUUAAAAAAUUUUCAAAUAGAAUAAUUUAUCCUUAGAUAACUUAUUCCAAUGUCGAGACAGGCCAUAAUAUUUUUUGAAAAUUCAUUCACAACCAGUUAAAACUCUAUACGCAUGAAUGCCAAUAUAUUAACAAUAUAUUUAAAAACAGGUUUUAGAGAGACCUUAUCACACAUGACAGUGUUUUUAUUUUUUCCCCUUUGUUUUCUUUUCCCUCUAGGCUAUUGUGCACCAUGUGAGGCAUGAUUUUGGCAGUACCUGUGUCAGUUAAAAGAUUUGGUGAGAUAAAUAAACUGUUGUUAAACAGCAAAUGAUUGGGUUUUUGUGGUUUGUGGGAAAACAUGCAAUUAGGGAAAAAAAAAAAAAAAAAAAAAAAAACUAUAUUUGAAGUAGUUAAACAAAAAGAAACAAAAAAGCCUUUAUGAAUAGAUUUUGGGAGCACUCUUUAGCCUGAAGUGGCAAGGAUCUGCUUUAAUGCUUAUCCUACUACUAGCUCUUAAGAAGCUAUUGUUCAUGGUAUGGAUUGGGUGGUGGUACAAGGGAGGUUAUUUUCUUUCCUUGGAAGUGAUCAUCAUAUGUAAGUUAGGGCACCUUAUGUUUCUGGCCCGAUUUCGUUAUAAUUGGUAUGAAUGUGGUACAGUUUCAACAAGCGAGUGAUUCAGCAAUAAAUACUGAACUUUCUGUGAGGUUAGGUAGCUUUUACGAUACGUGGUGGUCCUUAAUUCGACGGUGGGAGCGUGAGAAUUGCGCCAAUGGCAGAUAAAUACUAAAGAUAUCUAAAAAGGAUUGGUUAAACAUAGUUGAUAAGUCAAAUUUUUCAACGUAACAUUUGAGAUAGAACGCUUUCUUGUAACUUUGAGCCAUUCAAUCCAAUUGCAGUAGAUUGUCAAGAAUAAAGGUAAGUGAGUUGCCUGAGUUACAUUAAUUCUAUUAUUUUAAAGCAACUCUUUUAUCUCUUGUAAAAUUAUAGGAAACAAUCAUUUUCUCAAAAAGCUUAAACUGUCAGAAAAUAAUAUUUUUAAUAUUUAUAUUCAACACUCCCUCUUACGUCUCGAUUCAAAUAAGGCGUGGACUUGAAUUAAAUGGAGAAAAUUAAAUGAGACUAGGGGCUUGGUGAGACUCGAAUUUAAAACCUUCUGUUCUGACUUCUGAUACGAUGUGAAAUUAUAUAAAACAACCAUUUUCUCAAAAAACUUAAGCCGUUAGAUUAUAAUGUUUUUAAUAUUUAUAUUUAAUAUUUCUAAGCUUAUAUAAAUAUAUAAAACUGGCUCAUUCUAUCAUAUAACAAGCCGGCUAAAAUGAAUGGCUGGUGUUAAAAAAAAAAAAGAAAAAAAGAAAAAAAAAAAAAAGCUCUUCUACCUGAAGAUGGGUUUAGUCUCUUUUUUUUUUAGCAAUACACUAAUUAAAUAACAGAUGAGGAAAUUAGAUUAAAUUGAUACAUUUUUAGAUCUUCAAGAGCGAUUAAAAGUUUGGUAGAAAUAUACAAAACUUAUCUGAACUAUAGACUAUUUUGAUUCGACCAUCUAAUCUUUCAAAAUUUUAAUUUUAGCACCCAACAUUUCAAAUUGUUUGAUCUAAGUAAUUUGUUGGUUCUUCGGAUAUAAAAUUUAAGCUAAUUGCUUUACUUUAAUAAAUAUAUGUCAUAUAAAUUGCAUAAAAUAUACUAACUAAAUUCAUAAAGUUAAAUAACGCAUUCGAAUUUUAAAGUUAAAAAGUCAUUAAUUAAUUGGGUCACAUCAAAUAAAUUAAAAGAUCAGAUAGUAAAACCAAAAGUUCUAAAGGUUCAGUGGUCGGAUUCAAAAAGAUGAUAGUUGAGGUAAGUUUUAUACAGAAUUACCUAAAAUUUAUUUAAAGCGUAGGAGCCAAAGUAAAACUUUCGGAUCGAGCCGUUCGGGGAUUAACCUUGGAAUUUACCCUUGUGUUCCAUAAUACUAAGCAACAACAUUGUAUUUAGGACUCUAUUAUGUAUGGCCAAAGCUGUUCAAAAGAACUUUACUUCUUCAGUUUUUGGAUCUAAAAAGUAUAUAUUUAAGUGAAAAUAAGUGGAUAUAUUAUUUGUUCAAUCCAGUUUUUGCUAGCUGUUAUAAUUGGCUUCUUCUUCUUUUUUUACAUUUUCAUAUCUAUGUUGGAUUAGGCCCAAAUUUUAAUGCCAAGAAUGCUACAAGUGGACAUGUCUCCAAUAAUUUAGUUAUAAAUGACUUUAAUAUUUGAAUUACUAGUGGUUAUGAAGGUAUCUAAAUGGUCUAUUUUGUGAAUUGGUUUAUUUUCUUUUAUAUUCUCAGGGAAGUGGUUUAUGUUGAUUUGACUUUUUUUUUCCCUUAAUUUUUCUAGACUUAGGAGGGUCCUUUUUGGUCAAUGUUUUUUAUGGAUUUUUUUCUUUUUCUUUUUCCUUUUUUUUUUUUUAUGGAACUUUAUGGUCAAAUUUGUAUUGAGAUGGAUACAACUAGAUAAAAGCUUGUUUAUUUCAAAAGGUUUAAGUUACAACCAGAUAUCUUUUUUUCAUACUCUUUUAUAAGCUAUAUUUUAGGUCUGGUUCAGUAUGAAUGCAAUCUACUUAUCAUUUUUAAAAAAAUGAGUGUAAUCUAUUUGAAUUGAUUAUGUGAAAAAGAUGUAAAUUAGUUUAAUCUACAAUACUAAAUUAAGGCUGCGUUUGGUUCGGGUUAGCCUAGCCGGAUUACAGGCAAUCAUGUCAGGAUUACUGCGUUUGGCUCAUCCGGUAUGUAAUCUAUUUGGUAUUAGAUGUAUUCUUGAAUGUGAAUCCUCGACGGUGGCUGCUUUGACGUGGGUCUUUGGACUGAGCGAGCAGGCCGCGCGUAGGCGGUAUGGCCGCGGAUGUUGUCGGGCGCAUGAAGCACAACGGUGGAAAAUGUGACCUAGCUUGGUGGCCAGCCUCAGUAUUGGGGUUGCUCGUUGGGGAACUCGUGGAGUCCGACGAGGGGUUCGAAUGCAGGCGAUUGGUUGAGCUGUCAGUCUCGCGCAGAAGCAAGCUUGGCAAAUGCUUGGAUUGAUAUUCCGCUGUUAAGUUUGGGAGACUUGUCUAUGUUAAGACUUGGGGAAGACUUGCUCAUCUUCGAGCAGGAAGGGGGCGCCGCACGGGCUUUACGAAGAAAAAAGUUAUGUCCGUGACAGUUGGUGUGUAAGAUUACACCGAAAAAUAUUACCGAUGAGAGGGUGUGUAUCUUGGAUUACUGAAAGCAACUAAUCUUGCAUGUUAUAUAAAAUUACAAGUUUAUCCGUCCAACUCCCUAAACCCUCUCAAUAUGUCAUUUUGAAAAUUUUAAUAUAAAAUUUUGAGUUGUCAAAUUUUAAAUUUUAAAUUUAGAUUUUAAAUUUUAAAUUUUAAAUUUUAAAUUUUAAAUUUUGAAACUUCAAAUUUAAAAUUUAAAAUUUAAAAUUUAAAAUUUAAAAUUUUUAUUUUUAUUUUAAAUUUUAAAUUUUUAGUUUCAAAGUUUAAAUUUCAAAGUUUAAAUUUUAAAUUUUAAAUUUUAAUUUUUAAUUUUUAAUUUUUAAUUUUUAAAUUUUAAAUUUUAAAUUUCAAAUUUGUAUUUAAAAUUUUAAAUUCUAAAUUUUAAAUUUUGAAUUUAAAUUUAUAUUUAAAUUUUAAAUUUUAAAUUUAUAAAUUUUAUAUAUACAUUUGAAAUUAAAAUAUUAAAUUUUAUAUUUUUGUUUCUAAUUUAAAAAUUUUUAAAAAUCUAAAUUAUUUAAAAUAAAAUUUAGAAAAAAAUAUUAUUUGUAAACAGUAAAAAAAAUUUUGCCAAAUAUGGCUAAGGGUAAUUUUAGAAUAAACUAUACUUUAUUGUCAAGAUUACUAAUUUUAUAGACUGAAUCAAAUAUAAUAAUACUAUAAACACUGCAAUCCAACAUUACAUUACUAUAUUAAACCAAACAUGCUAAUACAAAAUCAAUAGUAAUAUCAUUUAGAAAUUCAAGAUAUCUAUAUAUAUCGAAAUAUUUUGUAAUAUUACAUAACUCGAACCAAAUGCACCCUAAGGGCAUGUUUGGUUCACACUUUUUUCACCCUGAAAUCGGAAUUGGAAUGGGUGAAUCUGUUUGUGGGUGUUUGGUACGCGGGAGUCCCAUUCCAAUUUUGAUUCCCGAAUAGAAUGGGAAUCCUCUAAUCACCUCUUUUUUCAAUCCGGCCUAGGAGGUCGGAUUGGAAGUUGAAUCCGAACGGAAUGGAUAUUUAUUCCGAUUAAAUUUAUUUUUUCAACUUUUUUAAUUAAAAUAUUAGUUAAAAUUAAAAAAUUGAAUAUAUAAUUUUAAAUUUUAAUUUGAACUUAAAUUAAAAAUUAAAAUUUAAUCAAGUAUUUCGAAUCUAACUUAUGAAUUUGAAUUUAAAUUAAAUUUUAAUUUAUAUAAAGUUUUAUUCAAAUUUUAUUUCAAACUUAAAUUAAAUUUAUGAAUUCAAAUUAAAAUUUAAAUU